GAUCUCCGAAUUUACUUGGAUAACUGUGGUAAUUCUAGAGCUAAUACGUGCAAUCGAGCCCUGAACGUAAGUGAUGGGCGCAUUUAUUAGUAACAAAACCAAUCGGUGCUUGCACCGUGGUUUGGUGAAUCUGAAUAACUGAGCAGAUCGCUUCGGUCUUUGUACCGGCGACGUAUCUUUCAAGUGUCUGUUUUAUCAACUUUCGAUGUUAGUUUAUGUGACUAACAUGGUUGUCACGGAUAACGGAGAAUAAGGGUUCGACUCCGGAGAGGGAGCCUGAGAAACGGCUACCACUUCUAAGGAAGGCAGCAGGCGCGCAACUUACCCAAUCUCAGUACGAGGAGGUAGUGACGAAAAAUAACGAGACGAGGCUCUUUGAGUUUCGUCAUCGGAAUGAGAACAAUAUAAAUCCUUUAACGAGGACCUAGCGGAGGGCAAGUCUGGUGCCAGCAGCCGCGGUAAUUCCAGCUCCGCCAGUGUAUAUCUAUGCUGCUGCGGUUAAAAAGCUCGUAGUUGGAUCUGCAUGUUUCGACCCGGUCCGACAGUAUUGUUGUGAACUGG
RNAcentral lists this ribosomal RNA (561 nucleotides) under Nematoda sp. ZTSP33. Its description in RNAcentral is "SSU rRNA". It matches the Rfam family "Eukaryotic small subunit ribosomal RNA", at positions 123 to 681 of the family's 1831-position model. The record is from RNAcentral. Lineage: Eukaryota; Metazoa; Nematoda.